GACGUAGGGGGCGAGCGUUGUCCGGAAUUACUGGGCGUAAAGAGCACGUAGGCGGGAACCUAAGUCAGGUGUGAAAGACCGUGGCUCAACCACGGGGUGGCAUUUGAAACUGGGUUUCUUGGGGGCAGGAGAGGAAAGCAGAAUUCCUGGUGUAGCGGUGAAAUGCGUAGAAAUCAGGAGGAAUACCAGUGGCGAAGGCGGCUUUCUGGACUGUAACUGACACUGAGGCACGAAAGCGUGGGGAGCAAACAGGAUUAGAUACCCUGGUAGUCCCUGAGCGGG
Molecule: ribosomal RNA, 282 nt
Filed under: uncultured prokaryote
Description: partial 16S ribosomal RNA
Rfam family: Bacterial small subunit ribosomal RNA
Source: RNAcentral